Molecule: ribosomal RNA, 445 nt
Filed under: uncultured bacterium
Lineage: Bacteria
Description: partial 16S ribosomal RNA
Rfam family: Bacterial small subunit ribosomal RNA
Source: RNAcentral
GUGAGGAAUAUUGGUCAAUGGGCGGGAGCCUGAACCAGCCAAGUCGCGUGAAGGAAGAAGGAUCUAUGGUUCGUAAACUUCUUUUGCAGGGGAAUAAAGUGCAGGACGUGUCCUGUUUUGUAUGUACCCUGAGAAUAAGGAUCGGCUAACUCCGUGCCAGCAGCCGCGGUAAUACGGAGGAUCCGAGCGUUAUCCGGAUUUAUUGGGUUUAAAGGGUGAGUAGGUGGUUUGAUAAGUCAGCGGUGAAAGUUUGCAGCUUAACUGGAAAAAUGCCGUUGAAACUGUCGGACUUGAGUGUAAAUGAGGUAGGCGGAAUGCGUGGUGUAGCGGUGAAAUGCAUAGAUAUCACGCAGAACUCCGAUUGCGAAGGCAGCUUACUAAGCUACAACUGACACUGAAGCACGAAAGCGUGGGGAUCAAACAGGAUUAGAAACCCCUGUAGUCC